AGAUAUAAAAACUGCGAAUGGUGUUUAUAAGCGUGCUGUGAAAAAUGUAACCGUUUUGCCUAUAUAUACUAAAGAUCAUUAGUUAUUGUUGAACUGAAUGUUCAACGGUCGGCAGAAUGUUUAAGCAUGUUGAAUGUUGCAUCUUAUUAAUUAUAUUGUUCAUGCGUCAACAACGGUCACGAGAAGACGAUGAAGCGUACGACGCAUGCGCGCGAACUUUUCUUUUGUCUAUUACUUCGCGCCUUGAGGCUGGUUGUCCAUGGCGAAGAUUGAGAGCGAACGGCGUUUAAUAGUAUUCAGUUAAGCAACAUUGUAUACAGUCCAAAGGAAUACAAACUGAGUUAUAUGAAGAAACAUGUAUUAUUUAUUUAACAUCAGUGAAGCGUUGCAUAUUUUUACGUAUACUGUAGUUGCCGUUUAUCUCUAUAUAUUUAUUAUUCUUACUGGAAUUUUACUGGAAUAAAAGUUCAAUUAUAAAUAAUUAUUUCAGAUUCUUAUAAUGAGACAAGAAAAAAAUUAGUAGACGCUGAAUUUACAUCUACUCUUGAAAGUGAUGCAGAAAUACGUAAAUAUCAGCGGACUAAGAGAAGAUUCAAAAGACCAUUUCGAUUCUAUUCAGAAUCUUCUGAAAGUGACAAUGAGGAAGCAGUGUAUGAUAAAAUUCCAUCACCUCCGAAACUUAGAUCACCCACAAAAAACAGUACUACUUCGUCCACAGUGAUCCCUCAGCGCAAAUCUCCGUCUCCGUCUAUAUUGGCUGUUACCUCUCCGAAAAGGAUAUCUAACAUAAAAAUGUAUCAUAACAAGACACUAAAAGUUAAUUCACCAAAGCAUUCAUCUAGCAAUGCAUCUGGUAUUGCAAACAAUGACAACACAGGAAUACAAAUACGGGUCAGCUUUUGGACCCGAAAAGACAAGAACGUUUCUUAACGUAUUUUCGCGCGCUGAAUUCAAAUCCGUUGUGUGUUUUUCGCUGGGUCGUCAGAUUUUUGAGAUUUAACCAAACUGUUUCGCAAGAUUUCUUACGCCAAAAUAAAAGAAGGGAUUUUUGUAGGACCUGAUAUAAGAAAAUUGAUGGAUGACGACAAGUUUACGCAAUGUUUAUCGGCCGCAGAAGCCGCAGCAUGGGCAUCAUUUAAGAGCGUCGUUUGUAAUUUCCUCGGUAAACAUAAAAGUAACAACUACAAGCAAAUUGUCGCGGAUCUAUUGCAAAAUUACAAGAGAAUUGGUGCUCGUUAAAAAUUAAUUUUCUACAUUCCCACCUUGAUUUCUUCCCGGAAAAUUUAGGUGAUACGAGUGACGAGCAGGGCGAACGGCUUCAUCAAGAUUUGCAGAGAAUCGAAAAGAAUUACCAAGGUUUUUGGGACGAGGGCAUGAUGAGCGAUUAUUGUUGGACUCUGUUACGUGAAACAGAGCCAGAACAAUACAAACGACGUUGUUACACCGCAUUACACUUCUCAAUUUUGAUUUUUUAUUAAAUAAAAUGACCAUUUAUGGUCGAAAAUAGCAAAAACAGCCAUUUCAUUUACCUCAAAAACCUGACGACCUAGGAAAAAACGGACUGCGGAUUCGGAAUCAGCGUGGAAAAUUAUCUUAGAAACACCUUUUGGUUGCUCAGGUCCAAAACCGUGUAUUCCUGUGCAAUCAGACUGCCUCAAGAAAAUAUAAUUCACCAAUGCAUUCAUCUACUUUUUCAAGCAAUUAUGAUGAGUCUUGCUUAAUUGAGUCUCCGACUUCACCUUACGUUGAAACAACAUCUCAGAGAUGCUCUUUAAGGAAAGUUAAUCCUCUGCAGACAUCAUCUAACGCUACCUCGACAACUUCAGAACAUAACAAAUCAGAUGUCUCUUACGUGAUUGUAACGAAAUUAGUGAGUUUAGAAAAAUCUACGAAUAUACUUAUUUCCAUGAUAAAACAACUCAUGGCACACUUUCGAUUAACGAAACCGAUUAGUGUGGAGAACGUCCCACAAAUUCCUAUUGACUCCCAUGAAGAUUUGGAUAAUCUUGAAAAAUUUUUGGAUGUUAAAGAAAAUUUUGAAUAUAUGGUAAAUACCUUAAGUAUAUCAGGCGGCACAACAAUUACUCAGAUAACUAGGAGGAUUAUCGCAAAAUUGAUUACAAAUAAUUAUGCUACCAAUUACAACUGGGCGGGUAGAGCACCUAAGAGAGCUUUUAAAUCUUUAAAAACGAAGAACUUGGUUGUCGCUACUGUUAAAGCCGUAGAAUCUAAUGCUGCUAUCAAUUUAAUUGAAAAUUCCAUUAAAGAUUGGUUAAAAUUAUCAUCUGUUCGUCUGACAUUAGCCGAAGCCAGAGCACUAAAGAGAAACAUUUCAACAGCAAGCAUGGAUUGAAAUUUUGUAUUUAUUAUUUAUAAUUUAUAAUUACAGUAUUAUAACUAAUCUGGUGCAAUACAUAUAACGUGAUGCAAUACAUAUAGACAUAUAAUUUUAUGCAAUUUAUAGCUUUAUGUUUAAAUAGUUUAAUGUUUACUCAUGUAAUUUGGAAAAAAUACACAUUAUUAUAUUUA
Ooceraea biroi (clonal raider ant) is the source of this 2529-nucleotide RNA transcript. RefSeq lists it as uncharacterized. NCBI's taxonomy places the organism in Eukaryota, Metazoa, Arthropoda, Insecta, Hymenoptera, Formicidae. The record is from RefSeq and is a predicted model, not a curated record.